UGGUGGAGUGAUUUGUCUGGUUAAUUCCGAUAACGAACGAGACCUUAACCUGCUAACUAGUCGCACUAACCUUGGUUGGUGUCGACUUCUUAGAGGGACUGACUGUGUUUAACAGUUGGAAGUUUGAGGCAAUAACA
This 137-nucleotide ribosomal RNA is filed under the name uncultured eukaryote. RNAcentral's name for it is "partial 18S ribosomal RNA". It matches the Rfam family "Eukaryotic small subunit ribosomal RNA", at positions 1299 to 1458 of the family's 1831-position model. The record is from RNAcentral.